AUUGAACGCUGGCGGCAUGCUUUACACAUGCAAGUCGAACGGCAGCACAGGGAGCUUGCUCCCGGGUGGCGAGUGGCGCACGGGUGAGUAAUACAUCGGAACGUGUCCUGUUGUGGGGGAUAACUGCUCGAAAGGGUGGCUAAUACCGCAUGAGACCUGAGGGUGAAAGCGGGGGAUCGCAAGACCUCGCGCAAUUGGAGCGGCCGAUGCCCGAUUAGCUAGUUGGUGGGGUAAAGGCUCACCAAGGCGACGAUCGGUAGCUGGUCUGAGAGGACGACCAGCCACACUGGGACUGAGACACGGCCCAGACUCCUACGGGAGGCAGCAGUGGGGAAUUUUGGACAAUGGGGGGCAACCCUGAUCCAGCCAUGCCGCGUGCAGGAUGAAGGCCUUCGGGUUGUAACUGCUUUUGUCAGGGACGAAAAGGACCGUGUUAAUACCAUGGUCUGCUGACGGUACCUGAAGAAUAAGCACCGGCUAACUACGUGCCAG
This 492-nucleotide ribosomal RNA is filed under the name uncultured bacterium. Its description in RNAcentral is "bacterial SSU rRNA". It matches the Rfam family "Bacterial small subunit ribosomal RNA", at positions 30 to 511 of the family's 1533-position model. The record is from RNAcentral.